RNAcentral lists this ribosomal RNA (252 nucleotides) under uncultured bacterium. RNAcentral's name for it is "partial 16S ribosomal RNA". It matches the Rfam family "Bacterial small subunit ribosomal RNA", at positions 524 to 776 of the family's 1533-position model. The record is from RNAcentral.
UACGUAGGGGGCGAGCGUUAUCCGGAAUUACUGGGCGUAAAGGGUGCGUAGGCGGCCUAUAAAGUCCGGGGUGAAAGGCUACGGCUUAACCGUAGUAAGCCUUGGAAACUUAUGGGCUUGAGUGCAGGAGAGGAGAGUGGAAUUCCUAGUGUAGCGGUGAAAUGCGUAGAGAUUAGGAGGAACACCAGUGGCGAAGGCGACUCUCUGGACUGUAACUGACGAUGAGGCACGAAAGAGUGGGGAGCGAACAGG